RNAcentral lists this ribosomal RNA (253 nucleotides) under uncultured bacterium. RNAcentral's name for it is "partial 16S ribosomal RNA". It matches the Rfam family "Bacterial small subunit ribosomal RNA", at positions 524 to 776 of the family's 1533-position model. The record is from RNAcentral.
UACAGAGGUCCCGAGCGUUGUUCGGAUUCACUGGGCGUAAAGGGUGCGCAGGUGGGUUUGUAAGCCAGAUGUGAAAGCCCCGGGCUUAACCUGGGAAUGGCAUUUGGGACUGCAAGGCUUGAGUGCGGCAGAGGAGACUGGAAUUCCUGGUGUAGCAGUGAAAUGCGUAGAUAUCAGGAGGAAUACCGAUGGCGAAGGCAGGUCUCUGGGCUGACACUGACGCUCAUGCACGAAAGCGUGGGGAGCAAACAGG